RNAcentral lists this ribosomal RNA (448 nucleotides) under uncultured bacterium. Its description in RNAcentral is "partial 16S ribosomal RNA". It matches the Rfam family "Bacterial small subunit ribosomal RNA", at positions 329 to 794 of the family's 1533-position model. The record is from RNAcentral.
CGCCAGACUCCUACGGGAGGCAGCAGUGGGGAAUAUUGCACAAUGGGGGAAACCCUGAUGCAGCAACGCCGCGUGAGUGAAGAAGCAUUUCGGUAUGUAAAGCUCUAUCAGCAGGGAAGAAGAUGACGGUACCUGAUUAAGAAGCCCCGGCUAACUACGUGCCAGCAGCCGCGGUAAUACGUAGGGGGCAAGCGUUAUCCGGAUUUACUGGGUGUAAAGGGGGCGCAGACGGCAGCGCAAGCCAGGAGUGAAAGCCCGGGGCCCAACCCCGGGACUGCUCUUGGAACUGCGCGGCUGGAGUGCAGGAGGGGCAGGCGGAAUUCCUGGUGUAGCGGUGAAAUGCGUAGAUAUCAGGAGGAACACCGGUGGCGAAGGCGGCCUGCUGGACUGCGACUGACGUUGAGGCCCGAAAGCGUGGGGAGCGAACAGGAUUAGAUACCCCCGUACC